CCUGACCUCAGGUGAUCUGCCCACCUCGGCCUCCCAAAGUUCUGGGAUUACAGGCGUGAGCACCGUACCUGGCCAAAGUGCUGUAGUUUUAACUACAUCUGGAAGUGUUAUACCCAAAUAGUUGUCUCAGAGAGAUUAUAAGAAUAAACACACCAUGUGGCCAUGUGGACCCUCUCUGAGGGUGUUUCCGAAGCCAAGUUCCAGUCCCAAAGUCUGCUAUUGCUUCAACAUGCAGACCAAGCAGAGAGUCACAUGAUGAUAGCAGGAAAAUUGUUUGAACCUGGGAGGUGGAGGUUGCAGUUGCCGAGAUCACACUACUACACUCCAGCCUGGGUGACGGAGUGAGACUCUGUCUCAAAACAAAACAAAAUAGAAAAGGCCAUUUAAAACACUUUCUACUAUCAAGAGCCUUCCUAGACAUGCGGAGAUCUGCUGUGACAAUUGUCCUGUGUUGGACACGGUUAGGGACUCUGAGACUAAGAAAGGGCUCGGGAGUGGUGACCUCAGCAUGAGUGCAGGACUGGUGGGACGUCUUAUCUUCUCAGGGCUGGGUCUGGGGAUUAGUGGUAGAGAACAGGGCACUGUAUCCCUCCCUGUCUUGGCUGAGUGGGAACCGCUGCCCGGAGCUCACAUAGCCGAGGCUGGGCCUGGGAGAGGAACAUGAAGCAUCUGUGAGCUGGGAUGAGAUCUGUCCAUCCCAGAAAGUAUAGGACUAUUUAUUGGAAAGGAAAUAUUCUACCUUUGGUAACGGAACAGGCAGUCAGCAGAUAAUUUUCAAAGUAAAGUAGUAAAAUUUCUGAAAAAGAGUGAGUCACUGAAACACUUCCUUUCUAUUAACAGAGUCUAAUAUGUAAAAUCAUUUUAAAGAUUCAUUUUAUAAUUUUGUGUUUAGAUCAUUUUGUUGGAGUUUUGAUAGACUUGAGUCAUAUAUACCUUGCAUAGAACAACCAAAAAUCAGAAUCAUUUCAGUGAUGCUUCAAAUCUGAUUCUGAUUUAGUUGCAAAAAUGAAAACACCAGGCAUAAGCAUUCAAAGCCCAGUUUCUUUUCCUAAUUCUUUAAUAUGUAGAACUUUGGCGAGGCCAGAAGGAUCUCUUCUCUAAGGUACUUAACUAAGGAGAUAAGAUAGAUGGAGAUACAUAAUAUAUGGCUGGGCCCCGUGACUCAUGCCUGUAAUCCCAGCACUUUGGGAGGCCAACGUGGGUGGAUCACCUGAGGUCAGGAGUUCGAGACCAGCCUGGCCAACAUGGUGAAACUUUGUCUCUACUAAAAAUACAAAAAUUCGCUGGGUGUGGUGGUGGGCACCUGUAAUCCCAGCUACUCGGGAGGCUAAGGCAGAAGAAUCGCUUGAACCUGGGAGGCAGGGGUUGCAGUGAGCCAAGAUCGUGCCACUGCACUCCAGCCUAGGUGACAGAGUGAGACUUGUUCUCAAAAAAAAAAAAGAUAUAUAUAUACAUAUAUAAUAUGUAAUCUUAUAUAUAUAUAAUAUAUAAUCUUAUAUAUAAUAUAUAAGAUUAUAUAUACAUAUAUAAUAUAUAUGUAUAUAUUAUGUAUAUAAUACAUACAUAUGUAUAUGUAUGUAUACAUGUAAUAUAUACAGAGACAGAGACCACAUAUCUCUCAGUAUUUUAGAGAAAGUAUAAGCAAUAUCAUAUAUAUACACACACACACACAUAUAUAUAUAUUUUUUUGCAGAUGAACUUAACUCACUAGCAACUCCCAAAUUUCUAGAAAAUAUUAUGGAAACUAAUUAGUAGUGCUCAUUAUUUUGCUAAUAUUGUCAUGUCUGUGGCAUGCUAUGGAAUAAAUAUAUUAAUACAAAUUAAAUAUAUAUGACUAAACUAGCAACCUUGUCUGUUUUCAUCACUUUUCAGAAAUACAUAAACAUAAAGCUAUAUUCCUCAUUGAAAGCAAAAGUCCCCAUUAUAUAUGAAUAACUAUGCUUUUUUUUGUUUUCCCUAUGUCAAACUGAUUAUUGUUGUGGAAAUCACUGGUUUUGAGGAUAUAGGAACUAGGCUAUUCCUGUCAUUUUGAAGAAACUAUUAUUUUAUUUAGUGUUUUUGGAGUAUUGUGUACUUUGCAAAUAUUUUAAAUUAGAGACAUAUAAAGUCCAAAAACAUACAUAUAUUAGACCUUCUAUUACUGUUGUAAUAAACCAUCUAAUAAUACUGACAUAGAACAUAUUACCAUGGUAAUAGCCCCAUAUACAAUUUACAUGAUUAUCCCUAUGUCACUGAUCAGCAGUUCAAACACAGAACAGUUGACUCAAUGUCUAGGUCAUUUUAUCAUCUUGUAAUGCCCUUUGAACCCCCUUAGCUCCUUACAGAAGAGUUCCUCUGGCUCCCAGCAAUGAACUGAGGAAUGAAUAUACAGUCAUAAAGCUAAAGGUUCUUAAAGCUAGAAGGACUCUCAGAGGUUUUAUAACCCAAGUCAACAAUUACUCAGCACGCAUACCACUAGUUCCUGAUCCUAAGCCAGUGCCAGACAGCAGUAAUCAAUUUCAGACUUUUGUUUUCAACUCUUUUUCAAUAAAGAUCAUACCAGAUAGUCCACUACCUAUAAGUGGUAAUAGAUGCAUGAAUAGAAUCUUCUUUGCUCUCCCAGCUAAUCUAAGUCCCUUUCUUGUUAAUAAGAAACAAAGACUCAGAGAGUAUAGGUAUCAGAUAUACUUUUUUAAAAAUUAAAAAAACAGUUAAGAGUCAGUCUCAUUACUUUAUGGCCUCAUUUUAUUUUUUAGUGCCUGUGAAAUGUAAUAAGAGGGACCUCAAGGGGUCUGUAAUCUAGUUUUGAGAAAGAAAAGAUCAACAUGCUUGAUAUUUAUAUAGAUUCAUCAAGUGUUAAUCUAUGUUGCUGACAUAGAUCAGAGGGGGCUGAAACAGGCAGAGGAGAAUUUAUGGAGGUAAUAGAGUUUGAUUUAAGCUUUAGGCUCAUUUGUUCCCUUGACAAACAAGGACAACAUUUUACUAACUCUCUGGGUCAUAAAUGGCUCAGCAAUUCAACAAAUGUAUUCACCCUACUGUGCAAUGUGAUAGGUACUAUGGGCACAGAGAAGAGCAACACAAACGUCCUUCCCUUAGGGUUCCUGAAUUGGUGAGGGAGGCAGAAACAUCAGAAUAUAGGGUAAUAAUAUCACACAGCAGCGGGAGAGGAUAGUGGUUAGAAGCAGAGGCUCUAGAGCCAGACUUCCAGGGUUUGAAUCCCGGCUCUGCCCUCGACCUUGGGCAAGUUUCUUAAUUCUCUGUGCCUCUGUUUCCUGAAAAUAUGCUUGAUGGAAAGAUUAAAUCAUUU
RNAcentral lists this long non-coding RNA (3286 nucleotides) under Homo sapiens (human). Its description in RNAcentral is "HSALNT0146224". The record is from RNAcentral. Lineage: Eukaryota; Metazoa; Chordata; Mammalia; Primates; Hominidae.